GCGCGCGACCGCACGUACCAGUAACCGCGUCGUCAGGUAGACGGGCACAACGGACUCGACGCGUGUGGGUAUGUUACUCGCGGUGCACCUAUGCCGCCACAAUGUCGUUUUCCUCUAGUAGUCGUCGUCGUCGUCGCGGCGGCCGUCGUACGCAAUAACGCAAUAUUGUCGUUAUUGUUAUUAUUAUUGUUAUCACCAUCAUCAUCAUAGGUGGGUACUAUCUACGUAAUACCGCUACGCUCUCGUCGAACGAUUUUUCACACGCACGCGGUCCCGACGUGGGUUUCGCGUUUCGCGUUUAGAGGCAGGCAGAUAGAAUACGGGCGACCGAGUGCCGGUUUUUCGCGCGCGAUCCGUCCGUCAGUUUGGUGCGCGCGUGCCGCACACGCCCGUCCGCGAACCGGCGCACACCCGCGUGCGAUCCCGUCGCCUACGUAAACGCCGGUGUCCGGGUGAUAAACGAAAUAAUACCGAAGGAAAUCCCGGAUUCCCGCGGUCUUUUCGCCGACGCGAAAAUCUCCUUCUCCUUCUCCUACUCCUCAUUCUCCGACGGACCGCCGGUGUACAGUUGUCGGCCGAGCGACCGACGACCCGACCCGCCGUGCCAAUAGUACGCAAUACGAGUACCGUCGCGCAGUGCCGGCCGACUAGUGCGACACGAUGCUGGACGCUUUGCGGACGUGUUUCGCGUGCGCGCCACGGAAAAAACGGUAAGGCCAACGCUGCGGUUCUGGUUAUUUUUAAUUAGUUUUCGGUUAUUCGCGGGCGGCGAUGAGAAAGUACGUUCGGAACGGUACGGAACGCCGUGAUCGACGAGCUUCAUCCCCGGGAAAUAAUGAAAAUCGGUGUUCCGAUCGGAACCCGACGCACGGUUACCCAAAUAGUCGUUCGGUACAAACAAUAAUGCGGCCGAUAUGAAACGAAAAAUUAAAAACGGCUUUAAACGUUUGAAAACGGAUUGUUUCCCGGUGAUUUUUUCAACAGUAUUGAACGCGUUCGAAAUUUAAACGGGUUUAAAACCAGCCGGGAUGACAAUCCGCUCCGCGUACGUCUCGAUAAGAGACAAUCGUUUUGAUUUUCCACUAAUUAAAUUAAUUUAAAAAAAUUAAAAAGCUACUGCUUUAAAAUUGUCAAUUAUUUUAUCUACGAAAAUCUCUACGUGAGUGAAAUUUGUCAUGUUUAAAACACCUGUUCAAAUCGACAAAUCAAUUUUUUUAAACGUUUUGAUAAGAACAAUGUUUUUAAACACGAGUUUAAUACAAAUCAACUCUGACAGGAUAUCUUAGUCAGCCAUUUUCGGUUAAUCGAUAUGAUUUUAGCAUACUUUUUAGGAAGAGUACAACGUUUUACCUUAUCGUUUCAUGUAUAACGCGCGACUAUUAUUCUGUAUAAUAUUUAUUUAGUUUUCAAUAAAAUUAUCAAUAUAGUGUGUAAACAUUUAUUUUAUUCUGAUAAAUCGUACGGAGAAUAUUUUCCAUUUUAUUGUUUACUAUAUUAAAAUGUAAUAAACGUGUGUACAAUGUAAUAAAUUCGACGGUCGAAUAGUUUUUAAAAAUGAUGCGAUAAAUUUUUUUGUAUGUGACGUCAUGUUAAACAUUUAUUACGAGUGACGCCGAAAAGAUACAACGGCCUAAAACAGAAUCGUUAUCACCAUUCACGGCUGUGAAUUUAACCGUAAAAUCUUAAAAGUCCCCAAACCAAACAAUACGCAAGGCAUUGGAAAUGCCAAAGAAUCAUUAUAAAACCUGUGAAAAUGCAUUUAAAAUCCCAGAGUUACUUAAACUAAAUAACCUAUAAUUGUUUACAGGUUUUGAAAAUUCAUUAGGUAUACAGAUGUGUAGCAAUUAAUAAUUUAGCCUUAUCUUAUCGAAUAACGAUUAAUCAAACGGUGUACUUACACACUAACUCGUACAUACCUACAGCUUGUAUAAAAUAUUUUAUUUAAACGCUGAUGUAAAAUAUUAGUAUGACGUAUAUACCUACAGUCAGUGUAAAUUAUAAUUUUUAUUCGUGUAUAAAUGAAUAAAACUAACGCGAAAUUAACAAACAAUAGGAAUAAUGCCCUCAGAAAGUAAACAAAUGACCUGAACAAUUUAAAAUGCUAAAAAAGGCAAAACAGAAGUAUAAAACGUCUUUAACUUUAGAGAAAAAAUGCAUAUUUCAUCGAUUUCCAUCGAUUUUCCCAUAUUUGUACGCAUAUUUAUGCGUAUUUAAUUUUUGUUCAAAAAAAUUGUGUUUUUUCUUUCUUAACCAAUGUAUUUUAAAUAACAUUGAAUACAAAACUUAAUGUUAUUUAACGUAGUUAUGUAUUGUUAUUUCUUAUCGUCUGGGUCUAUUAUUAUAAAUUUAACGACUUCGUGCAACGGUGCGAUUUAAUCUUUAUCGUUUUUUUUUUGUGCAUAUUUAUUACAUUUUUCAUGCAUAUUUUAAAAUUUUUUUCGUGCAUAUUUUGCUUUUUCUAGCCCCUAUAUCUUCCGAGCCUUAGUGAUAAGUCGUAUGAUAGAUAUUAAAUUAUGACGAUAGAAAAGAUAAGUUAUAUCCAUAUAUGUGCACAAGGCACAGGACACAGGAUAAGUCCUGUAAGACAUCCAUAGACUUGGAUAAUUUUGUCCGUCCCAUAUAAUAUUAUUAUGAUACAUUAACAAAACCGUACACUAAAACGUAUUAUAUUCAAACUACUAUGAUGAAUUUUCGUAAAGCCGUCAAAGAAAUUGUCUAAUUUUUUCACGAAUAAAUCUACACUCUAAAACACCCUAAAACAUAAAAUCCAAGAUUUCCAAAUAGAAUGGCUGAACUCAGUAAAAUACCUGGCUGAAUAUUUACAAACAUGUUAGAAUGACCACUUUUUUAAUCUUUUUAUGAAAUGAUUAAGAUUCUUAUUUAAUUUGUUAUUAAUUAAAAUAUAAGAAUUAUUGCAACAAAGAAAAACUCAAUAAUAUCGAACAGAACAAAAGUUAUUGCGUUUGUUUAACACCCGCGAACUGCGAAUUUUUCGGAAAUCAAACGGUCCGCCACGUCAUCGUGAUAAUAUUAUCAUUUGUCCACCCCGCCGUUUGGUAAAAGAUCAAAAAAAAAAAAAAAGGUCGACUCGGGGUGGUAUUUAAUUUUUCCAUCUCGUUUUGUUUUGUUUUGUUUUUUUUUUUUUUAAUUAAACGGCGAUAAAUAACGAUAUCUAUUAUGUAGUUUUACACGACAAUACUGAAUACGUACGAUUAUUAUUACUUUUUUUUUCUUUUACAUUUUAACGCCUCGACGUGGUCGAUUAUCGUCGACAAAAAAUUUGGUUAACGCGUGAGUUUUUUCUUCUUUUCUCUCUCUCUCUCUCUCUCUCUCUCUCACUUGUUAAUACCGGGUGUCGUCGCUUACAGCUACUAUUAUUAUAACAACAACAGCACUCGAGUCAUAAUAAUAGUUUUUGUUGCGUUAUUAUAAUACGUCACCGUCGCUGCCGCUGCCGCCGCCGCAAUCAUAAUAUUAUUAUGGAUCUUUUGUACCUAAUGCCUGUACACAGGUACACUGACAGACAUCACGAAUAAUAUUAUUAUCUCCUGUAGGGUUGACAACCGAUCGGUGUUUGGCGAUUGAAUGUUAUUAAAUAUUAUUAUGCGCGGGAAUCUCUUUAAGCUCGCGGUGAUGGCGGGGCAUCUGCGCCACACAAUGGAAAACGAUAAUUUUUUUUUUUUUUAAUUAUUUGAAUUAAAUAUAAUGAUAAUCGGAAAAGAAUUGAUACUUUAAUAAAUUCGUAAUUUUAUUGAUUUUUUUUUUCAACCAUAAAAUAUAUUAAUACAUUAUAAAUUAUUCGAUUUCCGCGCGUACAUCACCUUUACGCAGUGGCGUGACCAGGAAUUUUCAACGGGAGAGGGUACGCAGCAAAUUAAUAUUUUCGUUUCAUGAAUAAAUCGUAGAAUCGUCUUCUGUUGUUCCCUAACUCGACAAUGAAAAUUUAAAAGCCGGACCCGCCAAACCCAAUUUCUAUUCAAUAAAUCAAGCGAUUUUUUUCUCAGGAUCUCAGCUGAAAUGUAUAAUUUUUAUACUUAAUGUACUAAUUAAAUAUUUAUAGUUGUUUCAUUUUUAAUCCGUUAUGGAAAGAGGGAUGUAACCCUUUUCCUCUUUUCCACGCCUACCUUUAUGACGUAUGCGUUUUAAUUUAUUUUGAAUUAUCUGUCUUUUAUCGAAAAACGCGUUAAUUAAAAACGUCCAUUACAAUAAUAUAAUAUCGGUUGACAGACGACGACAAUAAGACGUUUUUGACAGUGACUGCACCGCGGAUAAAGUGCAGCAGUCGUUAAAUAAAAAAACCCGUCUGACUGUAAAAUUGUAAUUAGUAUUUAAUUAGUAUAGUAGGUACAUAUAUAUAUAUAUAUAUACACAGGUAUUUUGCAGGAAAUUAGUAUAGAAUAAAUUACAUAUUUGUUAUAAUUUCCGUCUAUUAUAACUGCGCUGCAUAUAGCGUAUACAGCAGCUAUAAGCUCGUGUUAUUAUAAACACUCCUGGUUUAAAAUAAACAAUUUUUUUUUUAACUCAAUAAUCCCAGAUGGCAGAAAUUUUGUGACUAUAUAAAUUUACUGUUACUAUAUACUGUUAGUUAUAUGUGUAAAUUGAUUAUACAAUUUCUUAGAUUUAUUUAGAUUUGUCGAGUAAUUAUUUAACAAUAAUAAGCAUGUUAUGGCGAUGCAGUUUUGAGCAACUUCGUUACUAGUUUAGCAAACAAACAGUUUUGGCGAUAUUGAUUAUUGCAAUUGUUUAAUAAUUAAGCAUAGUCGAAGUUGUGAGUUUAUAUCAUUCUCUCGAAGCCAUAACUCCCAUUUUCUUUACUUGUAUGAUUAACGAUACACCCAUCAAGUUCUUUAGCUCUAUAGCUCUAAAAGAUCUAGGUACCAUAUGCAUUAAAAGUCUUAGCUUCCAUUAACAUGUAGUCUUGUCAUCUCCAUUACCACCAUCUGAACAACAUAAUAUUCCCUCACUUACUCUUUAACAAUACUGCUGCUGAUACUCAAAUUGUACACACAAAACGGGCAUACCACGAAGUAGUUAUCAUUAAAUUAUUUCUAUUUAUUCAAAUGUAAUUAUUAGUUUUCAUCUUUUUUUUUAAUAAAAUCAGAAUUUUCUUCUACAAUUUACAGUUUAAAUUGUUUAAACCUAGAAAUUGAAUGCACUGUGCAUAUUUUAAUGGUAGGGCGACACAGUGUCGGAUUAUCGUGGAUAAGGGUGAGAGGUUGAGAAACGUUGCCGUAAAGCUGUCAAAAAGAAUAUUCACUUACAAAUAUCUGUCUAUUUGAACAAUUUUAUUUCAAACAAUUAUAUUGUUUUAAUGCGUUUUAAUCAUUUUAAAAUAAAAUAAAAUCACGAAUUUUUAUAGUACAGAAAUGACACAUUUAUUAAUUGUAUAUGUAGCAAAAAUUUUAAAAACUUAUCCACACUAAACAGUUGUUAUGUUAUAUUAAUGCUUAUACGAAAAGCAGGAUAUUUGACCAUUUUUAAAGAGUAUAAAAACUAUAGAGGUUCCUGGUUUGGUGAAUAGAACCACGAAUAAUCAAAGAUCGGGUUAUGAGGGGGAGGGGGGAAAUGUCCCCAAUAAAUCAAUGAAACUCGAUUUACGGUACACAAAUAUUUAUAUUGCAAUAAUAAUGCGUCAAUAUAACCAUAAAUCGAAACGGUUAUCAAUAAUAGUAUUCGGAAUAGUAUAAUAUACCUACUAUAAUAAUUAUACCGUGCAAAUAGAACGGCAUUUUAGAUUGGUCGUCCGAAACAACCGUAUUACUGUUUAAAGAAUCAAACUACAAUAUCAUACUGUUUUCCGCACGCAACGAUUGCGAAAAAAAAAACUACAAACAGUAGAUGAAUAUAAAUAAAUAUACUCGCAGAACGAUAAAUACGCAGAGCCCGCGUUAACAAAAAUCGACGGAAGAGCGUAUAUCAGUGUUUUGUUAUAUCUAAAUAAAUUAUCUAGACGGGUAUAUUUCUUUAUUAUAGAUACAUGAAAGAUAAUUAAUUAUCUGAGAUAAACCGUCUAGAUAAAUCUAGAAAAAAUGUAAUCAUAUUAUUAUUUUUGAACUUAUUUGAAAUAAUAGGUACAAGUAAAAUAUUUAAUUUAUAUUAAUAUAGUUUAAUGAGUUAAUUGUUAAUAAAUUACUUCAAAGACCAGUGGUGAAACGAACGCGGUCUUUGAAAAGCGGUCGCUUUUGGAUUAUAUCUAAGAUUCAGGGGCGGGCGAGAAAUGAUUUGCUGAGUUUAAAAUUAAACUACCGUAGAAUUCUUAAAUUAUUGAUCUAAAUUUCCGGAUUUGCAGAGUAUCACUCAUAAAACCAGCACCGUUAUAUCUCCGGUCCCACGAAUAAUAUCAUUUUUUGAUGAAUAUAUUAUAAUCUUAUACUAUAAUAUUUAUAAUAAAAUAAAACUGAUCUUGUUUUACAUAAUAUUAUCGUUUAACGACCAAAACCAUUAAAGAAAAAAAUUAGUUUUAUUUAUCUUUGUAAAUACUUUUGUCUUUUAUAAUAGUUAAUAUCCCGUUUAAGAUUAAUCAAAAUGAUACUUUUCGUCUAUAUAGUUACAUACCAUAGUGAUGCUUUUUGUGACCUGCAUCAGUCUGAUGAUGUUAUUAGGGACAACUAUACACAACAUUAUAAUGGUAGUUAAUGGUAAAUCGAUAUUUAUGUAGGUAUUAAAUUUUGGUUACCUAACAUACAGCUGGCUGUACUGUACAAAAUACAGUUAAUCAUCGUGAAUAUGGGCAGUGAUUCUCGUGAGUUUUACUAAAAAAAAAAAUCCCAUUACCUGAUAAUAUUGCAGUCUUUCAUUUGUUCACAAUUUGUUGUUACCCCCCCCCCCUCCCCAAAGGAAUAUAAUAACUAUUAUUUAAAUACGUACCUGUAUUUAUGAAAUAUUUACAUACAUGUAUUUGUUUUACUUAAUAUUGUUCUAGUUAUUUAUAACAAACAAAUCUAUCAACUUAAACUUGAUUUUGAACUAUUAUAUUUAUUCGAAUGCGUUUAAAAUUAUAAAAAUGUUAUGUAGAUAUUUAUUAUAUUUAUUAUGGUUUAAAGAUUAGGAAACUGCUAUUUUAUUACAUAAUGAAUCACACGUGUAUUAGUUCUAGUUCACGAUGAAUAUUUACGUUUAAACGAAAAAAGCCAAGAGACAUUUUUCGAAGAAAAUUGUACGACAAACAUUUUCGAUUUGAAACUUUUUUCGAUUUUGGCAAUAUUUUCAAGAAAACAAUACCGCAGGUUUUUACCAUACAUUUCGUGAUCAUUGAAAUGGAUUUUGAAGAAAAUAAAACUCCAAUCCAAGGUCACGGAGUCUUUUUUAUGUUGAAGUAAAAAUUUAAAUUUGUAUAGCUUCGGAAGAAAAAACAAACUUAUAGUUGGGACUUUUUCCACUACUUCCUAAUAACAUGAAUGUUUUUAUUAAUCAAGUCUAAAAUAAUGCGUAAAACACAAUAAGCAAAAAAUAGUAAUACCUACGUAAAAAUAAUAAUAGGUUUAUACUUAAAAUUAAAAUUCUAUCCGAUAAUUAGUUUUAGUUUAAGAACUCCAAUUUUAUUUUUGGCUAGCAGUUGCAUAAUAAUAAUGGAUUAACAAAUACGUAUUAAAAUAAUAAAUACACAACUGCAGUCUAAUUAUAAUACCUAAAAAGCUAAGUGCAUUUAUAUUAUAUAUAUAAAAUAUGGUAUAUUAGAUUGAUAAUUUAGUAAUAUCUGUGACUAUUUCAGAUAUUAUGAAUUAUAAUAACUUAUAAUACAAUAUGCUUAUACAUUGUUUCUCGACUAUAUGUCGUAGUUUUAACUUAUCUUUGUAAUAUUAUUAUAUCAAUGGUUUUUUUAAAUAUUAAUUUGUACGUUGAACUCGUCGCGUAUUGUUAUAAUAAUUAUAAAUUAUCGGCUUUUACUUAUUUCGUUAUCUGAAUGUACACAAUGUUUAUAAAAUUUAGAGACGUUUUGAACGCCCUGUAUUGCUGCAGGUUAUAUUUCGAAUUAGAAUAGACGUACCUACUUACCAAUCAAGCAACUAUUUUUAGUUACAUAAUCCGUGUAUAAAUAUGAACUAAAUGGAAUAUUUAAAACGAAUUAGUAUAACACUCAAUACUCAAACACAUGCACACAUAAUAUUAUGCCUAUAUACUUAUGCGCAGAUCUGACUUAAUUAAUAAUUACGAUGAGUGUACACAACAGUAUAGUGCGAGAGGCGAGUUCGCGUGUAAUAGCGGAUAAUUUACAAUUAAAUUAAAAACGCUAUAUUAUAUCUACAAAUAUAAAUAAAAUUGAAGUGUCUGUCUGUCUGUUUGUCCGGGGUAAUCUCUAUAAACGGCCUAAACCGUUUUUGACGGGACUUUCACGGCGAGAAUAUUUUCCGAGGCAUAAUUUAGCUUACUAUAUUCAUUUUAUUCCGUAAUCCGACCCCUCAAUAGUGGACGACGCUUGAUUUUUGGUUUUAUAAUUCGAAAUUUCGUUUAUUUAUCUAUUACCUCGUUAUCGCGGAUUUAAAAAAAAAAAAAAAAAAAACAAUUUUAAUCAUUUUUUAUUACCGUUUAGGACUGAUAGUUUAUAAUAUAAUAAUUAUCUAACAAACUUACGACAUGUGUAUCUAUGUGUUUAUUGUUUGUCGUAAGUAAUAAUUAGGUACUUGCAACCUGCCAUGUUUAUGCCGACGGCGACGUUCAAAAAGCCUUAAUGGAAAUAUAAUCACAUACCUAGAUAAUAAUAUUUCCAUAACAAUAAUUGUACGAAAAUGAUAACAAAAACAAAAUAACAAUUCUACGUAUACCUUCAUAGACAAUAUUGACUAUUUCGACAAUCGAUCGCAUACUGGCGAUACUUGGGGUUGCCGCGUAAACUUGGAAGUAUUAAUUUGUAACUCGUGUAAGUUUAUGCAAUAGUCCGUAUAGAAAUUAUUUGUUUCAAUGUCGUUUCCCAUUAAAUUCAGUUUAAAUUUUUUAUUUAUAGUUUUUUUUUUCUGAGUGCAUUACAUCAUUGUUAAUGUAGUUGUACAGUUUUUACUUGAUAAGUACCGAUAAGAUUUUUUUUUUUUCUAAUGAAUAUCUUCCACGAAAAUACUAUGUCGAAAACAUACAUUUUAUCGAAUAACUCGAUAAACAUUAUACACUUAUCGCAUAUAAUAUUGACUAUCCAGUUCAAGACUGCAACAGCUCAAAAAAUACUUAUGAUGAGUGGACUACGCUAUUCUUUUUCUAUCCUUUGUAAAACGAUUUUAACUCAAGAAUGAAACAAACAAAAUUAAUUUAAUUAUUGAUCACUAAAAGCUCUUAUUUCGUUUUAGAAUAAAUAUAAAUAAUAAUUAUGUUGGUUUAACACAGCCAGUUCUAAAAGUAAAUCAAGUAUGCAAUUGUUACAUUUAGUUCAUGUAUUUAUACAAUAUUAGUAACAAACUAACAAUAGAAACAUAAAGGAAAUAAUACAUCUAUGCGUAUACCAACAAUUGUAUUCGUAACUAAUCUAUUCCAUUUUUGUAGUUAAGUAAAUAUUAAUUGAAUUUUUAUAUCACUUUUAUAAAACCCUUUUUAUUAACUAGAUAGUCUAUAUUAUUUAGUUGCAUUUUAAACAUGUCUAUUAAUAUUCUAUACAAUUCUGUAGGUAAUAUGAGCAACUGGCGGCCCAUGUAUUCUAAUUUUAUUUCCAAAACAAAUUUUUGCACGUGAGAAACUGCAUCGAAUUUAGAGAGAAAAAAUAAUUUACGCAGGAUAAUCUACCAAAUUUCGUGUAUCAUUUAUAAAGACCUCAAUAGUUUUGUUCUGUUAAGUCCGGUGCACACGACGCUUGUUAUUGCUAGAUCGCCUGCUUGCAGAAAACCGCGAUGGCUCGCUUGCGUGAUUACGUUAACGUCGCACGAGGAUUGUUGUCGAACUGGUUUUCUAAUUUGCACACAAACUAACAUAUAACAUAACAUAACAUAACACUCUAUUCUCUGAUUGGUUCCUCGCUUAAAUCUAGCAAGGAAUCAAGGUAGGGAAAUAGGCCAUAUGUUCUGUCACGAAAUUCAAUACACGAUCGCUCAGCGGAGUCAUCACGGGACGAGUCACGGCUCCCAACAGGAAAUCUGUAGCAAAAAAAAAACAAAACACGGCGUGACGGGUUUUAUUGAAAAAUAUACAUAAAAAGAGACCCCCCCCCCCGAUAAAUAGUGUAAAAAUUGUAUUAUUGCAAUUAUAGUUAAAUAAUAUUUAUAACAGUAUAAUCUAUACAUUUAUAAUAAUUGCCAAUAUUAAUCAUUUUCAAUCAAUUUAUUUGUUUAUAAGUAUUAUAAUAUAAUAAUAAUAUAGUUUCAGUUUUAACAAACAAGUAGGUGUAUGCUUGUUGUUAAUUGACGUGCACAAAAUUGCGAGAUAUUAAUUAAUUUGUAUUAUAAUUGAAAUUUGCUAAGAAACAAAGAAACCAACUUGAUCUAGUUUAUCGCGUAUAAUGUACAGUUGCGUAUAUAGAAAUAUGAAUUAUUAUUAAAAUCGGAGAAUACGUUUACGGAGAAAAAAACAAUAAUAUUUUUGAGAUAAGUAUAAUAUUAUCUAAGUAGUGUACAUAGAAUUCUACAAUGAUGGAUCGACUUCCUUAAACGAUUGCGACGAUUGCAAAAUCAGUGCGUUUACAAAAUAAUAAUUUUACUAUCUAUUCAAUUCAACUGAAAUAUUAAAAUAACGACAUGGUCUCUGUGCAUAAUACGCAUUAAAGUGUAAUCUAUAAGAACAGGUACCUAUCAUUCGUGUAGAUACAUAAUAUCUAUUUGCAUAACCAAUAAUAUACGCAUACUUAAAGGAACUUAAGAUAGUAAGAGAGUGACCGACCAUAGAUGAUAAGGAAAUCGAUAAGGCAUGCCCAUACUAAAUAUCUAUAUUAUAGCUGUAUAAUAACUAUCAAGAGGGACUCGGUUCCUGGAAUGGCAGUCAAUUGAGGUCAAUUAUCAUACCAAUUAACCAUACCGCCUCCGUGGUUAAUAAAGUUACUUUCCUAGGAUUAUAAAAUAGAUUAAUCUACUCUGUGCUAAAAUUAUAAUAUUUAAAUUAUCAUUUAUUUUUAACUUCUGCGGUCAAAUUUGAACACAAAAUAUUUGUACCGUAAAUAGAAAAAAAAUCGCCCCAGUUUCUUAUCAUUCAAGAACUAACAAUGCUAAGCUAUUUUCUAUCCAUUCCUUUAUCGUCUCUGAGGCCUACCCGAUGAAUAUUAUCUAUUAGUUUCACUGUUAUCACUGACUAUCAUGGACGCCAUUUGUCGUCCAGAUAUUCUCCAUAAUAUAUGUUUAUGGUAUAAAUUAAAAUUUAAAACGUGUACAUAGAAUGUAAUACAUAAAUAUGAUUAAUCGAAUAAACGAAUAAAUAAUAGUGUACAUUUUAUGAAACUCCUGCUAAUUAUUUUUAAUACCAACGUACAAAUACUUAGUAUUUGUGUUAAUAUUAUCUACGGGUGGACGAUGAAUGGCUACUAUCUAAUCAGUUGGCCACUCUCUUAUUAUCUGGGUCUUUGCAGUUGCCUACCCAAUCGAACGUUAAUUAAAAACAAUCGAUUCGCAGAAAACACAAUGCCUAUUAUGCGCUCUCGAUUAUUAUAUUAUUAUUUAUUACCAGUUAUAAAAAUGCUUUAUUCUUAAAACGGACUAUAAUAUAUUAUAGUCUCACCACUGAGAAAAACGAACUUUGUUCUUUGUUUCCGGAGAUUUUUGUCUAUUAUACAGAAUUCGGGGAACAGAUGUAAAGUAGAAAAAAAAAAAAAUAAUUAAUAAUCCAUCCGUAGACGAAAAACCGCGGCGGUAGUUGUAGGUUACCGAGUUUACGUUGCCGGAUUUGUUCACCAAAUAAAUGUAUGAAAUAAAAUCAUUUAGGCACUAUGAGCAACUCAGAGUUAGGUAAUAACAAUUUAUACAGGCAUUUAUUUUAAUUUUAGGUUUUUUUUUACACAUAUUAAAAAAAAAAAAAUUCUUUAAAAUUAAAGAUUGGAAAAGUGACUUUACCAAUCUCGUUUACACUUCGCGCUGAACUCAAAUCUUUUUUCGGAAUUCUAAUCACUUUACUGCGCGUCGAUCAGAAACUGACGAUAAUUAACGCCUAGCGUUUAAUUUCUGAUUUCGUGAUCAUGAAUUACUAGUAGAACUGAUUAUUGUCUAAAUCACUAUACUGCGUAUGCGUGUUUCAUAAAACAAAAAAAAGAAUUAUCGGUAUCAGUGGUAACUCGUGUGUGAAUAUUCUGAAAAUUCAAGGUGAGAGAGUAUCAAUAUAUUACACAGGGAACCAAAUAGGUAUGUCAGAAAUAGAAAACGAGAUACUGUCAUCAUUACCUAAUUAUCCAAAAUUAUUAAAAUGUAAAAAUAUACAUAUUUUUUUUUAAAAAUAAAUCAAUACUACCUAUACGUAUAUUUUGAAUGGAAAUGAUUUUAAGAUAUUGAAAUAUAUUUAUUGUAGUAGACAAAUAUUGUAAAUGAGGUAGCAUUUAUAAUUAAAAUGUCUAAUAAGUUUUAUAAAACAGUCAUUCAGUUUUAAUUUUUGUAUUGAAGAAUUUUUUGCACAAACGGUUUUUCGACAACAUAUUUUACAGGGUUAACGCUCCUGUCUCGUAGAGACGUCUGCUUUUUUUUGUUAGAAAGUUCCUACAGGACGCAAUGGACUUUGAAUUUUAAUUAUGUAACCAAAAACUACCACACGAAAAAAUGAGUUUUAAAAAUAUGUCGCAUACAAACUCAAAUUAUAGUAUUAGAUAUAUAAUUUUCAAAAUCCAUAUCCCACACACGCGGUAAGGAGAAAAUAAGAAAAUUAUCGAAAUCGGACCACAGUUCCCACUUUGGAUAACGUGCAACGGAUACGAUGGCGAAAAACCGGGAGCUCGAACGUUCUCGGGAGGAUAAUUUAUUAUAUAAAAAAAUAACACUUUUCAACUAACGCGAUAAAUUAAUAUAAAGUACUUUAUUCUAUCGUCGGUAUUGUAUUUUAAUGAAGCUAGUAAAUCAAUGUGAAUGAUAAUAAUAAUAAUAAUAAAUAAUAAUUGGACGCGCCGUUCGCCGUACCUAUAUUAUGCAUGCACAAUUAUUUAUUAGCGGCGUACAUACGGAACAUAAUAAUACUCGCAAAUAUUUUAUUAUUAUUGAAUAAAUACAACAUCUUUGAUUUUUCCUCGGUCCGUUCCUUUCGGAAACAGAGAUGGGGGGGGAGGUAGGGUUACAAAAACCAUUUCAAAGGACAUGACGACAUUAUUAUUGUUUAUUCUAAAGUUUAUUGCGCGCAGUUUCUUAUAUGUUUACUCGCGAAGACGUCCGGUGAGCGCUGUUGUUUUGUGUUUCUGUCAGAAUGUAAAUGGAAACGAAUAAAAGUUCCCGCGUCCCCUAGUCUCGCGUUAUCCUUGCUUCGGCGAGGGUGGGGAUAAUAGAAAAUCUAUGUAUACUUGACCGGAACGCAAUACACGCGUAGACGAAUAGUCGUCGUUUCUUCAGUAUUUUUUUGUUCUACUACGCCGUAACGCCAACGCACGCAUAAAUUAUUACAGCACCGUAUCACCUACGUCUGAACGCAAUUCAUCGUCAUUUUUCUGCAGGGACUCCAGCGUUCCAAAUGUUUAGACCGUAGGGGUUUUCGGCGGGAACAGGUUUGUAUAGUUAUGGUCUGAAUGAUGCAGGCAGUAGUGUAAUCAGUGGGAGGGGGUCGAGAUUUUAUUACCAUUUCCACGAAAAAUAAUACAAAUACGAUUGUAGAAUUUGUAUUGCAACUAUACAGACAUUUCUGUGCAAUUUUAAGCACGCAAAUUUUGUCUGAAAUCUCGAAAAAUACUAUACCCACGUACUAGUAUUUUUAAAAAUAAAUUACAAAUAUAAUUUGAAUAUAGUAAAUAAUUAUGUAGAUAAAAAAUGCGCACAUAGAAAUAAAAAUAAAUAAAUAAAUAAAUGCGUCGCUUGAAGUAUUAUGAUGAGUGCAUUAUACGACCGGUUUCGAAUUAAAAAUUCAUCAUCAGGUAGACCACAGUCAAAAUGUAAAUUUUUAUUUAUAUAUUUAUAUACGAGUAUUAAAAAUUUUAAUAAUUUUGUUUUACUUUAUUAUUUUAUUAAAUUAAAUUUGUUUUAUUUUUAUAUUAGGAGUUUUUACCGCAUAUUUACGAAAUUUUAAAUUCGGAACGCAGUAAGGAAUGUAUUGGUUUUAUAAUAAUAUGUAUUUUUUAUCUGUGAACUACUAUUAAUCUUGUUCCGAUUUUCAUAGCGUAGUAUUUUUUCUAAGAGGAUAUUUUUAUCUGAGUGGUGCUUUAGGUAAUUUAUUGAUUUUCUUAGCGAUUUUCGUAAUAAUUGGGAAAAACUCAGAAAACGCUGGAAAAUGUACGUACACAUAUAAAAAAAAAACAUAGCUUUGAAUCGUUUUUCGUUAGUAAUGGUUUAUCGUUGCCUACAGAUAUAAACUAAAUCCAUCCUCCAUCCCAACUUCUCAUAUAAAAAAGUGGCUCACCCAUCGUGCAAAGUAUGUCCACCUUUUUAUAAACACUAUAAUAUUAUAUUCUAUACUCCCAACUCCCAAUCUAAAACAGUGGCACAUCUACGACACGAAGUGUUUGUUGUCGACCGGAAGACAUCGUAACUGCAUGAGAUGUUUCAUCAGCUGUUUCGACUAAAAUAAUAGUAAUAGGUACGCGAAGGUGCCACGCCGCGGAAUGUGUCUGCCAAUAACAAUUUUUUUUUUAUAUCGGUAUAUUUUUUGCAGGAUUCCGAACUAUGUUAAAUGUUUUUAUUUAUUUACUCGUUAAAUUGCAUGCGUAUAAUUUUGGGUUAGUGAAAAUUGUCGAAAAGCUCUGUAUUCUGCGAACAUACAUAUCUACCGUAGAUUUUUCAGGUCGGUUUUUUAACAACCUCGAGUUUUCACAAACCGACGAAAACAAAUUAAAUGACAACAACGUGUAUAGAAAUACACGCGCGAAAAUAACAUUCGAAUUAAUUAAACGAUACUGGCUGUAAUAGAAGGCCACACGUUGAUGUCGGUUUUUUUUUGUUAAAAUUAAAUACUCGCCAAUAACGAAUAAUGAAAAAAAAAAAAAAAAAUUAAAGCAGAUACUAUUGAAAGGUAUUCAAAAUGUGCCACUAUACAGAAGUUGGAAUGGGAUAUUUUAAUAUAUAACUAAUAUAAUAAGAUAAUUCAAUUUACAUCUGGGUGCAAUGAUAAAUCAUUGAUAGCGAAGAACGAUUCUGAACAGAGAAUUAUUAGUCAUAUUUUUUCACACGAUGCUAAGGUGGUAACCUGGAAAUUAACAAAAAUUGCGUGAUUUUCCGAUUUAUUUAGAAAACUGCAAAAAUCAAGAAAAUGACCCUCGAAAUGUACCAAAUGUAUCAAUGUAACAAUGCCAUAAGAAAGUUCCAAUUUCAAGUUUUCGACCGGAGCCAGAUUUUUGGUACAGUAAAGUUGUUAACAGACAAAAAAAAAAAAAACACAUCAUAGCGAAACCAAUACGUUCAUCGCUUCGCUCAGAAUCUAAUAAACCCGUUCGCACUGCACCCCGCCUAUUAUAUCAAACUGUAGAAAAAUAGACGUUAUAAUAUACGGAUUUUUUUUUUUAAAGGCGAGCUCGCGAACAUAAUAACAUACGACCGUAAUAAUAAUAAUAAUAAUAAUAAUAAUACCUAUGUUGGCCACCGCCGUCUGAGGGGAAAAUAUUGGUUUUUACGCGUGACCGAACCGCGUAUAUUGUGAUAAUAUAAUCAGAGCCCUUCGCUGCGCGCACAUAACACCGGUGACGUUCGAUCGCAUGUAAACACAAACGCGUCGGUACAAAUAUAUAUUAAUAUCAUCUGUGUCCAAAAGUUUGCCUCGUGCGCUAUACAGGAAAUUACGUCAUUGUAUCGUGUUGAAAUAUAUACGCAUGUAAUACACAAAACCGAGAAGCAUUGUUAACAAUAGUAUACAUAUAUAUGUAUGUAUGUAUGUAUGUAUGUAUGUAAGUGUAUCUAUAGGAAUUUAAUAAUAUAAUAUCGCGUUGAGUUUCGUAUGAAAGAGCCAGUGUUCACCAGUACUCGGGAUAAGACAGGAUAAAAAAGAGGGGGGGGAGAGGGGUAGAACUGUAGCUCCGAGCCGCAAGUCAAAGGAGUACCACAAUAUUUCGUCUCAAUUUUUUUUUCUUUUUUAGUUUUUUUUUUUAUUUUCACUUAGUAUGAAAAUAUACGCCGACAUACGUCAUAGACGUUUUGUCAUUCAACGGAAACUCAUGCUAGAAACCACUUGUUCGUACAAUAAUAAAAUGCUGUUUUGAAACUACAUCAUAAGUACCUCUUAUCAUUUAGUAUAAAUAGUAUAUAAUAGUUAUUCGCGAUACAAAGCAAAUGAGCUCGGUGACGACGAGAUAGUCUAUAACGGAGCUACUCUAUAUAGGGUUAUACUUAUCAGGGACGAGUCCGGGGGGGCUAAGGGGCCCACGCCUCCUCCAGAUAUAUUAUUUCUCCGAUUUUUCUUUGAGAAAGUAACAUAAAUAAUGUAUUAUAUUAUAUUUUGAUUGUAUUUGUGUUGUAAUAAAACAUUUUUGAGGCCCCCUCAGAUCGUUGUUUUGGAUACUUAUCAAUACGAUUCAUUCGCCAUCUUAAAUUGUAAAUCGUAAAUCUCGUUUAUCGAGAUAAUCUCAGCAUUAACAAGAACUAUAAUGGAGGAAGAAAAUAGAAAAAAGAGCCGUUAUCCGCGUUUUGUCUGUAACAAGUCUGGAAAAUCACGGCCAACCGCCGCUGACGACGCGACGGCGGCCUUGCCGUGGUUUGUGCGCGCGACUGAAUGUUUGGAAUACGAAAUUUCAAUUAUACGACUGCAAUGAGAUUAAUAACAUUAUUAUCGGUUCGUCUCACGUCGGUUUUAUUGGAAUUUUAAUGAUGUGCGUGGAUGAUGAAUCCAGACGUUUCCUAUACAAUCAAUACUAUAGUUGCCAUUGGUUCGCGAUCACCUCGAUCAUAAAAGUAAUAUAAUCACUGCGGAAAAAACACAGUCCGUAAAUCGAAUCUCCCAGGUAAUCGAGUCUCAACUACAGAAAACAAAAAAACACCCGUGAACUUCCUGUCACUCUGUCACAUGAGUAAAAUUGUUCUCAGUCAACAUGUUGCCGUUACAAUAUUUCCUUUUUUUUUUCUUCGUAGUCACCAGAGUUUAAUUACAUUUUAUGGGUAUUCGAAAUCUGGUAUUUCAUGUGAGAACAUGAGAUUUGAUCAUAAAAAUUAUUUGGGAGAGGAUUGAGAGUUGAAAUUUCCAAAAGCCUUUGAUACUUAGGUAGGUAUACACUAUUCAUAUACAAAAUGUCAUCAUUUGGUGGAUCUGUCGAGAUAUUCAAAGCUAAAAAGUCUUCUCAGUGACAUGGUGAAAUUCAUACUGAAAUUCAACCAAAACGGUAUUACUUCAGCUAUUCGAUAAAACAACUUUAAUUCCCGAGUUUGACCUCAUCUGAUCCAGAAGGAAUAACUUAAGUGGCCAAAAGUAACUGAAAAAUAAUAUAUAUAUAUUUAUAUAUUAGACACAAUACAGUGUUGUAGUGUAAGUUUUCGGGGAAAAUUCAAAAAAAGAGAAAUGCGUCUAAAACGGACAUCCAAGGGGCUGAAAAAUAGCGUGCCGUUAACAAAAACCUUUGUGCAUUUUUUUCGUGGACCACUUAUAGUCUCGAAAAUAAUUUUUAUCUGCAAAACGGGAGGGUGGAGAAAAAACUACUCGAGUUUGACUAAUAUAAUGAUAAUAAUAAAUUUGAAGGAUCUCAUAUCAUAUCUGUAAAGCGAUCGGCGGCCGAGACCGAGUAAGUCCUAAAAUGACACGACUCCGCCACGACGUUUUAAGAUUACAUAGGUGACGUGUAAUAACAAUAUAUUAUAGUUGGAUUGUGAGAUGGGGGGAGGGGACGGGACUAUAAUUUAUAAAAAUAACUUGACGUUGUAUGAACAUUGAAAGGUCGUUGAUAGCUGUUUUAUCUGGACCACCGAAUAAGACGUAAAAAAAAUCAUAAGUUUCACGGCAAAAGAAGUUCUUCGAAAAUCGAAAUUGUAUUAUAAUCUAAUCUGUACCACCAACGACGGGGAUCUUGUAUUGUUUUUUAUUUUCUUAGUCGUAUAAUACGGAUUACGAAGAUCAUAAAUGUGAUGUCUCAUCAGACAUCGAGUCGCAUUAUGCGUCCUUGGCCGAGUAAAAGUGGUUAUACAGUCGGACGGCACCGCGGGAGACUUUUGCUUUUGUCUGUGUCCCCGGUAUCGUACAGAUUUAGAAAAAAAAUAAUUUACCGCAGUUAUCGAUGAAUUUAAUAUAGAUAUAGGUUCCGGUUAUAAUACCUAUGGUAGGCCUUAUUCGCUGUUUCACGUUGUAAUAAAUAUUCGUCGACAGUGUUGAGACACAGAUAUAAUAAAAAUUGAUCCAGAUAAAGAUAAAGAUAAAACGUUAAACAUCUUUAUAUACAGAUAAAUGAUGAACUGAAAUUAUCCAUAUAACAGAUAAAAUACAAUCAUAUUUUAUCUAGAUAAAAACAGAUACCAAUAAGAAUAUUUUAAAAUUGUACCAGCUAAGUAUAAAAGUAUGGAAAUGUUCAAACUAACGUUAUGAACUGUUAUGGAGUUCAAUUAACUUACUUGUAUAAAACAGUUUUGUUUAAAUUCUGAAUGAAAAAUUUCCGCAAAUCUGAUCUUGGAAUCGGUAUAUAAUAAAGUUAAAACUUAUAAGUAACUUAAUUUUGGUACUUAAUAUUAAGUUUUCAUUUUGUAAAUGUCAAGUCUUGAAAAAAGUACAUUGAUACACAAUAAUUUAACUAGACAAGUGACAUUUUUAAAUAUUUAGAUAACCUGGCAAUAUUACUCUAAAUGAAAUAUAAAAUAAUCAAACGUUUAUCUAGAUAAGUUUCAACACUGUUUAUCGAGUAUUUUACUUAUAGAAAAUAUUGGUUUAGAUAUUAUAGUCGGUUAGUGCUGCGUAUAUAGUAAAAAUACAAAAAAAAAAGAAAAGAAAAUAUGAAAUCGUGAGGGUUAUGAGAAAUUUAUAAAAACGUCACGUUUAGAAAAAGACACGUUUGCAAAAAAAAAUGUAUAUAUAUAUAUUAUAUAUACAUUAUAUAUACGAGUGUUGAGCGAAAAAGCUAUUAGCUUGACCGAGAUGUGCAGUUUUUUGUCUCUCGGAAAACACUUUUUUUCGGUUAGUAAAAAUGUGUUCGAAAACUUUCACACCGAAAAACGAGGAUUUUCCGCUCGGUGGUGUAUAAAUUUGAAAUAUUUUUCUAUAUAUUAUAUUGCCAAUAAAAAUUUUUCCAAGCAAUAGUUUGAAAAAAAUAAUAUCGUUAAAAACGACGGCACACCGGUUAUAUGCGGACAACAUCUUUAGAUCUGAAAUAUUGAAGCUGUAGGGGUUCGAAAAUAAAAUUUAAAUUUCUAUUAUACGGUUCCGCACACUGGAAAACGUUGGAUUUUUCGGUUUUAUGGAGGAAAAAACAGUCACGACCGUACCAGGUUGACCGAGCUCCACUCAGAAUUGUUUUUAUUCGUAUACCUUAUAAAUCGUUUACACCGGAUAUUCCUCUACUCUUAUUGGGGGCGAAGGAUGCCGGGCUUUUUCAAAGCAUAUUGUUAUGUCUCGACAAAUCCGGCGGUGUAAAAAUAAAUUACGAUCGUUUUAUGUUACCACGAGAAUAUUUUUUACAUAAUAUAUUAUAAAUGUUAGGCGCGCGAACACUAGACGCUUUCGUCCGGUCGCUUUAAUUGCGCGGAAGGUAAACUGGCGGCGGGCACACCCGGUAGAAUUCGUUAUCAUAUUUAUUCUAUUUUUUAUGUACCCACUUACAAUUUAGACGUGGUAUAUUAUGCUGCGAGUUACAUAUUGUUUAUUGUUGCGUAUACCUAAUAGUUUCUUGAUUACCCUUGAACGAAUCCGUGUUAAUUAUAAACCCGCAAAAGUGGAAGAAAUUUAAUCAGGAGUACGCGCGUGCGUUUCAAAACUGUGGUUAAUUUUUUUUUUUUUAUAAUUUCUUUGAUUUUAAAUUCUGGCCGUCGAGCCACGAAAUAACUGUAAUUGAGAAUAUAAUCUACAUAGAUGUACGUAUUAUGAUUACAUAUUACACGGUACGCGUGAGAACACUUACAUCAGGGAUGGUAUAUUCCUUUAUCGGGAUGGUCGAAUUGCACUUUUUAACUAAAUUAAAUGGUUUUAAAGAAAUUCAAUUCCCUUCCCACUUACAGGCUUAGGACUGACAAUGAUUUUAACCAUUAGCGUGGUUAAAAUUAAUUUUCUUGUCAAAUUAUUAAAAUUAUUAUUUGAAAUAUUAUGAUUUAUACUCAUUGUACAAUUUGAACUCUCCCACCCCUCUUGUGUGGCGUUCGAACAUUGUCGGCAAUGUAAAACAUCUUAAUCUCUAAUUUAUCAUCGGUCUCGUCACCAUUCUUGGAUUUUUGAUUACAAAACCCUCCGACCAUCAAGAGGAAGGUAACCCAGUUCGAUAUUAUAGACCGAAGAAUCCCUCGUCCUAUUUUUAUUAAGUAAUUAUAUUGUUUAGCUAACACAUGGUUGCUCAACAUACAUCUCAAAACAAUUACGUAUAUUAUGCGAUUUAAAAAUGGCCAAUAUUCCAUUCUUAUAUUAUCCUUUACGUUGUUUUACAAUAAAUUAGCUUUUAUUUAUGAAUCGGUCUUAUUUUUUCUGUUUUUUUUUUUUUUUUUUUUUUUUUUUUUUUUAAGAGUUGUUAUAUUAUUGUUUAUACAUUAUUAUUCCUCUAAUAUAUGAGAUAUUGUUUUCAAAUAAGGUUACCGACUUACCGUAAGACUUUGUCGGGUAUUAGAUAAUAACAAUUUGUGUCCGACGUUUUUAGAUUCUAAACGGAGCUCGAAGGAAUGUAUUGAUUUUACUAUUAUAUAUGUAUAUAAUAUGAUGUGAUUGUGUGGGUGUUAGCCGUCUGUUAAAGUAAUUUCGAUCAGAAGAUACUACUUGCUCCAAUAAAAAAAAAAAAAAAAAAAUAGUAAUAAUAUCGACAGAGGUUUCUGAUAAAAUAUAUUUUUCAUCCAAUUUAAAUUUAUAAUACCUACUUUUGUCUUUUAUUAUUAUUAUUAUUAUUUUUUUAAUAAUAUAUAAGGAAAAACCGACAACAAAUGGCACGGUAUGAAAAAAUAGUCAAUGACGAUAUGGCAUGCAAAAAUAAAACAUUCCGAACGUAUAGACAGAUGCAUCCGACCAGAUUGCAAAACAUCUCGAAGCUAAAUUUUUCAUAAUUAAUUUUUUUUUAAUUGUUGAUUUUUGAGAUUUCUUGAUUACACGGAGAAAAAACAACUUUAAUCUUAUAGUCAAGGUCACUGAGCUCCACCCAAAAUCGUUUUUUAUUUACAACGAUAUAAACUAAAUUAUCCAUUUAUCUUACCAACUUCCUGUUUACAAUAGUUAGUACGUAAAACAUAUAGUUUUACUAAUUAUCGAUGAGUCAUAAUAUUUCUUUCAGUUUUGUAAACGAUCCUUUUUUUUAAAAAAAAAUUAUAAGGAUAGUAAAAUGAUUUUAUUAUAAUACAGUCACAAUUUUAAAGAAACAAUUUUCGGGGACAAAUCUCCAAAAUGUCUGCAUAGAACUGGGUUAAGGGGGAGGGCUAGAGAGGCUGAAACCCAGACCGAUGGACGAAGGGAUCACAAAUCACAACAGUCCAUCUCUUUUAUUUUUAAUUUUUUUUUUUAGAUUCUGAGUGUUACGAAAAAACUAUAGAUAUUAGAUUUACAAAGACGUGUUUUUUAUUCUUACAAAACACUUUUUUGAUUAGUAAAAAGCUUCAUUUUGUUUAUGUCGUCUCUUAAGAAAUUCGUAUAUUUCACUCGAUGGUAGUUAUUUAAAGCAUUUAUUGACAUUUUUAAAAAUUCGACCUCUUGAGGUUUUUUUUUGUUUUUCAAUUACUAAAAGGGUUCUAUCCAGAGUAGGUGUAAACUUCAUUCAGACUUUGACUGCAAUUCGAUCCUGGAUCCGUGGAUUACGGUUAAUUUCCGUCGACUCCGUUCCCCAAAAAUCGCUUAAAAGUUUUUUCCAUCGUCAUAAUUUAGAUAGGUUUUGUUUUUUAGGAUGUUAAUAAUAUAGACGUAUAAUAAUUCGAUAUUCUCCAAACACGUGUAUUCAUAUAGUUAAUCGAGUUUUUCGACGCGCGAGACAACACCCGAUUUGAAAGCAAGUGGCUAUAAUGGGGCGAACAAAAAUUUAUUGCAAAAUUUAUUAUUACAUAUUAUUAUAGGUAAGUUUCGUCAUGUAGAAAUCUGACUGGGCAAAAAACGUAUUAUGUUAGCACCACACACCGGAAUAGACGCCUUGUCAUUACGGAUUACAACGUUGGUUUUUUUGUUUUUAGUUUUUUCUAACCGUGACAUUCUGUAUAUACUUUACCUAUAUGAUACCUAUACGUAAUAUACGGUUAACACAAUCGGAAGCGUUAAAUGUUAACUAACCGACCUAACCCGGUGCCCUAAAAAUCCGUCUGUUUUCAAUAUUAUAUUGCCACAGUUAUUAUUUUAUUAUAAUUUAUUGCGGCAUAACCCUCUGUGGAUGAUUACUAUUGCGUUGGUAUUACUGCACAAUAGUAUUGGUUUACUAUUGAUAAAUAAAUAAUAAUAAUACAAAAACAAAAAAUGUCAAGGAAAACGUAACUUUUCGGGUUUGAAAACAGUGACGAAAAGUCCACGCAACUCUAUUAUCAAAAAGAGGAGAGAAUUAAAAAUUCUCAGAACAUAACAUUUUGAGUAAUCAAAAAAUGUUUUUUCUGUCUUUUAUUUUUACGCGAGAUAGUUUAGCCUAUAUCCGUCACUUUCUUCCUUUAAAAGUUAAACCUUGUCAUUGUUAUUGAAACCAAAUAAACCGACCCUUAGCAGUUUCCUUUAGUUUCUAUUGUAGUUCUUAUAACUAAUUUGUGACAUAAUCCUUUGGAGGAUAUAAUCCUAGGUCUCUCUUUAGUUCUCUUGCUUAAAAUCUCCCUUUUAAAAUCGUCUAAAUGUUUCUCAUGUCACCCAUGAAGAUUAGGUCAUUUAUAUACACUGUUUAUGAGAAAAUUAUAUGUAUAUUAUAUAUCAUCAUUUUUUUAUGUACUCUACGUGCUCUCAAUUGUCACCCCUAAUAGAGAUACAGUCACUUUUUCUUCAAUCUAAUUUCUUCCCCGGCUUUAGUCUAACGCGAAUCCACUAUCUUCUUGAUGACCUUAUCAUUAAUAUAUUCUUCUUUAAACAUGCCCAUAAAUACGGCACCUUUUUAUCAACAACCUUACCGGCCGCUUUUUUCCACUUUUUCGGACUCACCUAAUUCGACUAUAAUAAUAUAGCUAUAUACAUAUUCCACAAUUCUUUCGCUAGUUUGCAUCGUUGAACCAUUUUAAUUUUAAUUUUUUUAAACUUAUAAUUUCGAUAGAUACUCAUAUAAUAAUUAUAAAUAUCUACUUAAUGCGUAAUAUUUUGUCCCCUACCCAUUCAGGAUUUCCUACUAUAGACGAACGUUCUUAUCUCAUGCCUACCUACAAUUAAUAAUUCUCCUCGACGCGCGACGUUGCGAUUAGGUGUGGUUUGCCGAGAGUGUCUUACGUGAUUUCCAGAGGAUUACGAUCGGAGAGAACUUUUAUUUAUUUUACGCCCGUCAUCCGUGGUCGGAGACGUUCGAAGAGAUUACUGCGGAUGAAAAUUAUAAUUAAUUUUUUUUUUUAAACGAACAUUAUGUAUUUUUUUUUUCUUUUGCUCUUUAUUAUUAGAGUCCAUACAGUUUGUUGCCAAGGUGUCUAGAGGUAAAAUAGGCGAUCAAAACGCGGCAAACCACCAUUCAAUUGAUCAGAUAUCUAGGUAUUAUAUUAUUAUAAAUUUGUUCUCGGCAACACUGGGCCAAAGUCACAAUAAUAACUAUCAGCUGCAGCAAUGGUGCCCCUGACCUGCAUCAAGUUUACCUUCACCAUAAUAAUAUUAUCCCAUUAUUAUAUUAUGACGGGACAUCCUCCGUAACAUCACGAACGGUUGCUAAUAACCGGUUUUUUUUUUUUUUUUUUAAUUGGUGGCUGGCGUUCCGUUUCGUGCGUUUCGUGUCACGGGUGAACAAAAACAACACGGCUGACCGACAAUUUUGACAAACAUAUAAUAUAAUAUGGACGCGGAUGGUAAUUAAUUAAGUAAAAGAAAAAAAGCUAAUAUUGUUGAUGGGUGUACCACUGUUUUAAGAGGAAAGUUAGAAGGGAAGAUUCAGGAUAUCUAGUACUUUAAGUUAAAUCCGUGCGUAAGGUACAAUUGCAGCUAACGAGAAAACGAUUCUGAGUGGAGUUCGGUUAAUAGUGUUGCAUUGUCAACAAUAUAUAUGUAAUAUUAUGGUAAAAUAAUUACAUAUACAUAUAUUUUCUUUAAUAAUAUUUGUUUAUUAUUGUACCUUUUCCCCAUUUUCCCAUGUUUUUUCCAAAAAAUGCUAUCAUUGUAAAUCGUAGCAAAAUUUCUGAUAGAAAAGUUGUUCUAGUCUAUUGUUAGGUUCAGGAGUGAGGAACAAUAUGUCCUCACGUUCCUGUUUUACAAUUUAUUUUUAUUUUUUUUGUCUGUAGUCUCUGAACAAAAUAUUAUUUUCAAUUAGAAAAUUCCCUCCAAUUAAAAAAACUUUACGGGAAAUAUUUUAUUUUAUUUUGUUUACAAUUUUGAAUCCAGUUACUUUGCGUAGAGGAAAUUUUAUGUUUUAAAAUAAACAGCCCCCCCUCUCGAUUAUUUAAUAUUUAUAGAUUUUAGCACAUAAGUGAUUUUUUUGGAAAACCAAUAGUAAUCAACAAAGGCUGAUACAAUCACCUGCUGUGCUCAGAAUCUAGAAAAAAAUAAUACUAAAAUAUCAUUAACAAUUUUUUGUUUUUAAAGUUUUUAAUUAAUUCCCUUAAAAUAUCAAAUAAAAUCUUUUUCUACAACAUUUUUUGUGUGUUGUAGGUUUUACAGAAUAAAAAGACUUUACAAUCACUUUAAAAUUUAUAACUGUUUCAUUAAAUAGGUAAGUACUAUUAAUGAAAGGACAAAAACCCGUUGUUAACGGUGUCAUCGCCAUAGAUAUUAUUAAUGUUACUGCAUGGUGAUAAUCAGAAUGUUCCCAACGGUACACGAAAAUGCGUAAUUUAGGCACUCUCUUUCAACCCUUACUGAAUUUUCUUCAAAAAGAGACUGUGUCCAACGAAAUCAGUAUGUCCCUAGUGGCCUAGUCCUUAAAUACUAACUUUUAGAAAAAUCCCAUAGCUAUGUUCGAAAUUAAAAGUUCAAACGUGAUAUACAGGGUGUUCUAUUUAAGUAAGUAGGCACUCAUUAUCUCGGAAAGUAUUAACUCUGUAUGGCAUUUGUAUUUUAGAACAUUUAAUAAAAAAGCAGUUCUAAAAUUUUACGUUUAUAAAAUUUUUUGUCACCCUUAUUUUUGGAGGUAAAACCACUACCUACUUUUGAAUUUCAAAUGAAAAGCUAUAUUAAAAAUUCCAUACAUAUAUAGAGUAUAAGUUAAAAUAAAUUUUGAUGUUGAAAUUUUUGAUUUCGGUUAAUCCGUUGACGAGAUAUUUCACUUUUAAUUUUGGGUCGGUAAAAAGUAGUGAAACAUUAUUAAAACACUGCACUCCGUUCCACCACAUAAACUCUAUCUGUUUAUGACACUUUUAAUAUAGGUUGCUAUUUGAAAAUCAAAAGUAGGCAAUGGUUUUACGCCCCAAAAAUAAGGGUGACAAAAAAUAAUAUGAAUGUAAAAUUGUAGAGCUGUUUUAUAAAAAAAAAAUUCGGAAAGAGUUAAUACUUUUCAAGAUGUAGAAGUGUACCCACUUAAAUGGAACAACCUGUAAAUAUAUUAUAUAUAGCGUUUGCUCGUAUUAUAAUUAUCAUAAUUUUUCAUCCAUAUGAACUCGGCUAUAAAUAAAGUAGUUAAGUGUUAAAAUCUGAUAUCAAAAAAAUAACUAUAACUCAGAUACUUCCAUGAUGACAUAAUAUGUUCUCAGUCCUCUCCUCCCCAUCUUUGUUUUUGCUAAUACUUUAAAACUGCUGUCGUAAAAAUUCUGAUAAUGGUUAUAAAAAUCCGUACAAAAUAUUUGCACAAACAUUUUGGUAAAAUUUGUUGGCGAUGGGAAUGGGGGACUGGGGACAUGUAAUUAUAAGGUGUUUUAUCACGACCGAUUCGUCACGUUCGGAAUGCGACUGAACUGUAUUACAUACAGUAAGUAUAGCAGUAGUGUGCUCUCUUCUCAAGUCGAUAAUCGUGUUUUCGAAAAAUGACAUUAUAAUAUAUAGUGGUGUGCACACACCGAACCGAUUAUUGUGAUCAUAUUAUGCGCGAUGGUCGUUGAACGUGAACUGAAGGCCUCUCUGGAGUCGGGUACGCGUAUAUUAUUAUAAAACAUUUUUAUUAUCCGGCGGAACCGAUCUGCCACAAGUCCGAGAGCAAAAUGUACUCGCUAUUUGUGCCGAACGAGUUUUUCGUAUAAAAUAUGGUACGAUAUUGAAAAAAAAAAAAAAAUAGUAAUAAUAAUUGUCGAAAGGAAGGUUAAUAGCGGCCUGUCGCCAGUCCGUGUGGUACUAAUAUAACGUACAUAAUAAAAUAAAAUAUAAUAUUGUCUCCAAGCGCCUUUAAAUGGACGCGAUUGACCUUGACCCGUAUUCAUAUGUUAAUAAAAACAUUUAAAACGUUUUAUGAAAUAAUUCUCCCUCCCCCUUCCUCGAGUAAAUCGGACAAUGAAAAUGUGAAGCCUUCAGUUCAUAAAAAUAAAGAAUUUCUCUCGUCAAAAUAUGGUAAAUAUGGUAGCUCCCGAGGGUUCGGACGAUUUCCUAGCUCUCUGUGAUCUGUCUACCCCUAUCACGACUAUCACGAACUUUACGUUCUCUAUUUCUACUCAAAUCAUUACGUCGUUCUAUAGAAUUAGAUAGCCUGAUUUCCUGUUCUUCUUGGGUUUCAUCGUUAAAACGUAAAGGUUUUCUGAUUGUAUCUCCGGUAAUACCACCUAUAUUCGACCGGCCUCAUCGUGGCAUAAUUGAAUGAUAAAAUAAGGAUAACGAUUAAAAGUAAAAAUCUAAACGAAAUAAUGAAUUAUGGAUAUACAGACGCGGAAAGCAAUUUUGUCAAAAAAUAAUUAAUAACAGUUUUUUUUUUCAAUCCAUGUUACCAAAGUAACCCAUAAAUCAACAAAAAUAAUUAGGUCUUUGGAUUGAAAGUACCUAAAAAAAAAAUUUUAGGAGAUAGUAUUAAAUAAGAAGUAAAUUUCAUUAGUUAUAGACCUUUUUUGAACAACGUGAAACUUAUGGUGAAAACCGCAUCAAAAACCAUUUCGUAGUUUAGGACGAGUUAGCGGAUAUAUACAGAUAUAGACGUGGAAAGCAACUUUAUUUUGUACCAUACCUAUAUGUUUAUAAAAGGAAGCAUUAUUGUUAUUCAUAUUACCUCCAAUUGAACAUUUUUUAGUACACCACUAAAAUGACUGGACGUUUAAGAAAAUUAACUGUAAAAAGUUGAGUUUACUCAAUUAAAAACCUAAACUAUACGCGGUUAAGUUAAUUAGUUACAACUAACGUAAUUGAAAAUUCAAUUUUUUUUUUAAAAACUGUUCAACUUGGCUUUAAUUUUGUAAGAGUAAACUUUGUAAACUAGUUAAAGACCCUCGAGAACUUAGCAGCGCAACAUUCGCAGUCGACAUUCUAAAUACGUUCCAAUAAAUGUGUUACCUAGUAGUCUAAAGUUAUUAAACAAACUAUUACUAAACAAUUUAAUUUUAAAUUAUUUUAAUCCGCGUUACAAUUAGAAAACUAGUGUAAAAUAUAAUAAAAUUCAUCAAAAAAAUAUUAUUAUUAACAAAUUUGUAUGUAUUUUUUAUAUCAAAUAAUAAUAUUGAAAAUAUUUAAGCUACUCUAGCCAGUGCGCCGUAAGAAAUUAAAAUAAAUAUUACCGAUUUUGUCGGUAAAAUAAUUUAUUCAUUUAACGGGAAAUGUAUUUUUAAAUUAUUUUAAAAACCCAAGAAGAAAAUGUUUGCAAGCCUCUACCUCUCGAGAAAUAUUAGUUUUGUAUUUUAUUAUAUUAUAGUUUCGCAGUAAGGUAUUUAAUAUUUUGCUGCCACUCCCUUCCGUCUCUAUUGGUCGAAACAGCAUACCAGUGCAAUGUGCUUUGUACGAAUAUAUACAUAUAUACAUAAAAAGACAGUAGUAUGCGGUAAAACAUGUGAACAAUUUAAAAAUUAGACAGGGUAAGUACUCAGUACCUCCUGUGUCCUCCCAUCCCAAGUGAAUCACUGCCCCUGCAGUGUUUUGAUAAUAAUAUUAUAUUAUAAAGUCGGUAGAGGUAUCAUCGAGUAGUCGUUAUUUUUUUUUUUCUGUUGCGUAUACUGCUAUAAACCUCUGCAAUUUCUACACUCUGCAAAACUUAAUUUGUUUAAUUUUAAUAACAGUAUUACAGCUCCGGGGACCUGUAAAUAAAUUCGCUUUAAACUAAAUUCAAGCUUUUCAUGAGUAAUACACUUCGCAAAAUAACUAACGCUCCGCACUUUGUCUUUAACUAUUGACCUUCAACAAAAACCUUGACAUGAAAACGAUUGAAGAAAAUCUUACUCUAUUUCAUAAAAAUAUUCGUUCAGACUUGAAAACUACCAAAUGUACUCAUACCUUAUUACAUAUUUCUUCAUUUCUUAGAAACUCUUGCCGCAGCUAGUAGUUCUGUGAUUUUUUAAUUUAAAUAUAGCUAAAUAUAUAUAAGCUAAUAACUUAUAAGUAUCAUCAACGGAUGGCUUUUUAAUCAAUAAUCAUUGAUCAUGUAACCUCAAUAAUAUUUUUCUUAUUUACCACAUAAUAUACUUAUACUAUGAAUUAUUCGUAUAGAUUAUAUAUUUUCUCAAUACAAUAAUAAUACGCGAUAGACGUAUUUAUACCGGAAGUUGUCGCGACAAAAGCAAACCGAACAAUCAAAUUACCUGUAAUUUUAUAAUUAUAUUAAUAAUUUUGUAAACAAAAAUUGACCCCUCCUCCACUUUUGACUUGUAGAAAUAACAAUUAUUUUGCAUCGAUAUAGUGAGUGAUAUAAUAAUCGCUAUAGCCGCUAUAGCGCCGCAGCUGAAUACGACGUUUUCAUUGGUUAUGACAACAUAAUCUCGCUCCUCAUAUUUCUGAUAACAUUCAUAUCAUGUACAAUCGAAAUUUGAAUAAUUCGUUCAUACAAUAUUAUUACAACCGGUGGCAUAAUCUUGGAUUAUCGAUUAUGUGAAUUUGUGAGUUAGAAAAGUAAUAUUUGUACGUGAAAAUAAAAUUCCGUUAUCAGCAGUAUUUAAAAAAAAAAAAAAAAAAACAAAAAUGAAGUUAAUUUGUAAAAGGACAACAAAAAGCGAUUGUGGUGUGAUUAGAAUGAUAACUAAUGAGCCCGUCGUAUUUGGCUACGGUUCUGCAGAGUCUAACGAUUCUUUUAUCGAAUACGGUGUGCGGAUAGGCGUCCAAUUACCAGCGUUUUAACAGUAUUUCAUCGCAUAUAACUUUGAGUUAUAAUUUACAGCUCGAGCGUAUAAUAAUAUAUUUUGUAUAAUGUCAAAAGUUAAAACUAUAUAAGUUUUAAUGGAUUUAUUAUACGACGAUGUUAUGUAUGGCAAGUUACCUAUAGUGAUCUUCAACCACUCCUCCCCGCCAGCCCCUUAUUUUAUGAACGAUCUCACGAUAUAUAUACAUUACACAUACACCUUAUAUAUUUUUACCUACGUCAGAACUCAGAACAUUCGUAUAUUUAUCAUGCAAUUAUGGAAAUCAUUUUAGCUGCGUAAUUUAUGAGGUGAGGGAAACCACAAUAAAAUCAAAAACAACGGUGAAAAAAUACGAGUAGUAUAACAUGUUGUAAAAUUGAAUGUGUCCAUGCAUUUUUGAUUUUUCAAAAAGAAAAUUCCAAGGUAAAUAUGAGUAAAUAUGUUACUCUGCAUAGAAUACUUGGUGAGCAUUGUGUAUUAUUAUUUAAAUGUUUGUAUAAACUCUAUACGUAUUUUCAGUAAUUAAAAAUCUAUAAUUUUAAAGGGGUUUUCCAAUUUUGUAUAAUUUCUUGAUUAUUUUUCAUAUUUUAAUUACCAUCUCAAUGAUAAGACUUUCAACAUUAAUCUACUGCCCGACAUCCAUUUAAGGGAAAAAACCGGAUUUACGGACAACGUUUAAAACGUUUAUUACGUUUAAAACUAAUAUGUGGUGAAAACUAAACAUAUUAAUUGCCAAUGUUUGGACGUGCUGACCAAUUAUUAUAAUUUAUUAGUAAUUUAAAAAGUCGAUUUUUUUCACCUAAUUAAAAUCAAUAUAAAUUAAUAAUAAUAUUAAUUUUAAAUAAAUAUGAAUGCAAUGUGAUUAUUUCACGAAAGUUUCACGAAAUAAUAUUUUAACUGUUGAGCUCUUCGAAGCUGAAAAUUUAAAAUCGACUACCUAAAUAACCUAGAAAAUGUAUCGAUACAUUUAUGCGUAGGUACUUUAAAAAUUAAAACCAAAAAUUGGAAAGUAUAUGGCUUAUUUUCCACCGCCUAUAUUAACCGAUGCUAUGAAGUUUUUCCCGAAAUAUGGUAUUUUGAGUACAAUGACACUUUUGAAAUAUAAAUGAACAAAAAAAAAAAAAAAAAAGAAGAAGAAAAUUGUAAUUCCCGUCCCAUAAAAUUACGCCACUGAAUACGGUCGGUCCGAACGCCAUAAUGUAUUAUUUGACGACAAAAAGAUAAAUAAAUAUUAACUCAUUGUAGUUUAAAAUAAUAUUGUCGACUUUGCCGCAAAAGACCGCAACGGGCGAUCAAUCUUUCGCGAUGUAUUUCACGUGUAACUAUAAGAGUUCAGAGGUAUACUUUUUGGAUUAUUUUACAUAGACUGCACGUAGGACGAGCUGCAAACCACGCACAACGGAGUGUCAAAGUCUGGCGAAUUACCGCGGGCAAAACACUCGGCCAAAAGAUUAAUGACUCGCGCGCGGGUAUAACAGUAAUAAUAUUUCCGAAAGAUUUCGGCCCUCGAUAUAUUAUACACUGCUCGCAUUGCCAUUAGUGUAAAAAAUAAAGUUCUUGUAUACGCUCUCGAAACGAACAACAGCAACAACACCAACAAAAAAAGAAAACUUUUGUAACAUCGAUAAACUCCGGAUAUUGUGUAAACGCUAUUUGUUUUUUAGAUUCUAAGCGGAGUGAGGAAUGCAUUUUUUUUUCUAUACAUCGUUGCAGUUCACCGAUCGGCGGUUCUAUCGUGAUACAUGUUUCAAAACGUCCAUGCUACAAAAUAUACAUACAUAACAAACAUGUAGAAAACUAAAAAUAAAAUAAAAAUCGACAAUAGUUUUAGACCAUUUAAGGAACGGGCAGCUCUAAAAUGUUUUACGAACGUCUUUUUUUCACCAUUCUUAUUUUAGGGGAUGAAACCACUACUUACGUUUGAUUUUCGUAUAGAAACUUAUAUUUGAAAUGCCGUAAAUCAACGAAGUUUUGGUUUAAAUAAAUUUUGUUAUUCAAAUUUUUAAUUUUCGCCAGUUCGUUGAUUAGAUAUUCCAGAGGAAGAGCAAUGGAAAACUAUUCAAAUACCGGGCGUUACGUCACCAAAAAAAUUAUGCUCUCCGACUACUCUCUUCCUACUCACAAAACAAUAAACGUAUAAGUGGAACAUCUCAUCAACGAGCCGGCGGAAAUUACGAAUGCUAGCAUCGAAAUUUAUUUAAAUUAAAACUUCAUUGAUUUAUGAAAUCUUCUAUAUAUUUUGCUAUUUUAAAAUCAAAACCCAGUAACGGUUUCAGAUACAAAAAUAAGAAUGAAAAAAUGCAAUGGAAAUAUAUCAUUUUAAAGCUAUCUAGUUGUUUUUUUAAAUUUUCUAAAAAAUGAAUUCCGAAAAAGUCAAUGCUUUCUAUUAUAAUGAGUGUCUUACGCCGUGUUAAACGCUCUGUAUGCUUAUAUAAAGUCUCAGAAAUAACUAAAAACGUCCAAAACAAUUUAAUAACGGAAAUAGUCUGAUUUUGAUGAUGGGUAUUCUACAGUUUUAGGAGGGAAGUUGGAAGCAUAUCUUCCAACGAUAUAGUUAUUUAAUUUAUACCUUAUGUAACGAUAAACCACUGUUAAAAAAAAAUCUGAAUGGGGCGAGGAAUGUAUUGGUUUUGCAACGAUGUUUAUUUAUUUUUUUCCGUGGACAACUUUUCUAUCAGAAAUUUUGCUCCGAUUUACAAUGAUAGCACUUUUUCUAAAAGGAAAUCUGAUUGAGAUGAUACUUUAAAAAGAUCAUUUUUUGAUUCAACCGAGGAGUUUUCUCAAUAAAUGAGAAAAACUAGGAAAAACCGUAGGGAAAACAGGGAAAUAGGUACAAAAUUAAAAAAAAUAGAAUUAAAGAAAAUGUUUAAUGCAUAUGUAAUUAUUUUACCAUAAUAUGGCAUAAUAUAUAUUGUUGACAAAGCAACACUACUAACCGAACUCCGCUUAAAAUCGUUCCUUUGUUUGCAAUGGUUAAUCUUUGCUUACAUAUAUACAUUAAAUUUUUCUUUUACUGCCUUCCUAACUAAUUACCUACAGCAGUGGGCCACCUACGUGUGAAGUAAGCUCUUCUUUUUCCCCUUGUUGCCUAUGUUGUACCCAAGAAUUUAUAAAAGUACCAAAAAUGACCUGUUUUUUCGAUUUGUUAAGAAAACUACAAAUAAAAUCAAAAAUUGAUCUCUCCAAUGCACUAACUAUAUUAUAAAUAUAACGAAAAAGGUUUUAUAAAGUUGUUGAUCAGAUCAAGAUUUCCAUUGACAAAAAAAAAAAAACACACCAAAGUAAAAUCGAUACAUUGCUAAAUUCUCUCAAAAUCAUAUGCAAUUUUUAUACGGAAAUGACAAUAAUAAUAUAACACAAAUUAAAAAAAAUAAAGUAUAUUCUUACGAGGAGACGAAAAAAAGGUUAUACAUUAUAUGCGAUUCGUUUGCGAGUACACGUAUUUUUAAUUAAAAACCCGCAUGUCCACAAUAUAUUUUUUUUACGGCUGCUGUUAGCAGUAUUAUCAUAAACAAACGAUCGUUUAAAGUUCGGUAUAAAACUGUACAUCAAACUUAACAAAACAAACACAUAUCAUCACGAUAUAAGUGUUCUAUAGGCAGAAUUACGCGUAAUUACUAUAGGACUAGAUUACAACGUAAAGUGUAUUUUUAUUUUUGUUUCUCUAAAACAAUAUUAUUUCAAGUAUACAUACAUUUGUAUAACAGUUUUAUGUACCAGCUGUGUACUUUAAAAGUAUCAAAACUUGUAUGUUAAGUGAUUUUCCGGUUUUUCUAUUGUGUGUAUAAUUUUUUUAAGGGCAUCACGUACGAUCAAAGGAAAGUUUAUUAGGGCAUAAAUCAUGCAUACAAUAUUUUUGUAUAGAUUUUGAUAAAUAAUCUGUACAUGGGCUAUUUGUUUCUUGUGGAAAUAAUAUCAUAGCAAACGCCUAUAGUAACGUAACGUAGUUAUGCUCAGUCAUAAAAGUGAUAUGACUACGUACUAAAAUUAUUUCACGACAUGACGUAACAUAAUAAUUAGAGUGUAUAGUGAGUCCACACGGAAGUGAACGCGAAAAGGGUUAUUACGGAGAAGAGAAGAAAAUGCAGAAGAAACUAGAAAACCACGCAGCGUUCAGCAGUAAAUAAUAACUAAUUUUAUUACUCGAUACUGAUACGUCCGGAGACUUUUAUGUGCCCCGCGUGUACUUAAACUAUAUAAAAUUCCGAAAAUUACUUACCUACUGUUUUUACCCACAGUCGUUUCUGGUAGUCGUUCGUUCUAUUCACUUGGAUAUUUUCGACCGGCUAUUUUUCUAAAAGAAAAAAUUUAAAACGAAAACCGUCAGCUUAGAGGUUUAUGAUUUACCAAACUACAGUAAUAUUAAAUCGACCGUUGGGUUACGUUACCAUUAAUAAUGGAGAAUAUUUGAGUUUACCGAAUAAUCAAAUAUGUUCUUUAUUAUUUAAAAAAAUUAGUUGUAUCAAUAUUUACAAUUGAAAACAUACGAGUAUACAUAAUAUUAAUAUAAUGUAAAACCAAAAAAGAAUACCUACCUAGUGAACAUUUUACUCUAAAGGAUGACAAAAAAUGACUGUAAUGCAAGAUUACAAAUCGUUUGAAUUGUUAAAUUUCCUAUAAAAAAAAAAAAAAAAAAAAACAAAUUCCGAACAAACUUAAUGGUUUCUGAGAAAUCGAGUGUUUCGCAUUGUAUGUAUUGAUCUCCCUGUGUAGAUCAUUUGUCGCGUCGUCGUCGUUAUUCCAUACUUUCGCCUCUCAGACCGUAUUGUAUUUUAUCGGGUUGACUUCGCGGAAACCACAUAAAACGGGUGUCGGGUAUACUUAGUAUAAAGAGCCAAAAUGGAAAGGCUAGUACCUAUACAUACCUACGACAUUUAUAGAAAACCCCACUAGUUAGUAGCUGUGUACCCUAUGUAUAUAAUAUAGGUAACUUCUAAAGGUUUCCAGAAGAUUAACCGCGAACAAGACGGAACAUAACAUACAAUAAUAAUAAUAAUAUAAUCGUCGGACUAUAAUAUUAUGCGGGCGGAAAACGGAUUCAAAAUUUCGUUUGAAAAGUUCCGAAAUAAAACCCGACGUUUAUGCAGGCAUCAGACGACGGGAUCUCUGAGCUACUGACGGAUCCAACACGGUUCCGGGACCGGACAUGUGUGAAAAUCUGUUAUUCCUGUUAUAAACGAUAAUAAUCAUACAAUGUUAUAUUCUACCUACCUAACAUUUCGAGUGUUGUCCUGCAAAAUAUUUUCCACGCGUCUUUAAUAAAUACCCGAGCAAUGAAAUCCAUCAUCGCAAUAAUAAUGAAUGUCGGCCGUCAAAGCAUUUUAAGCUUAAAUAUUAUUAUAGUGACACUUGGAAGUUGAAAAUAAGGUUGUUCGGUAAAUAGACACGAGAUGUCUAUGAAAUAUAUCCAUGCCUACCCUUCUUGAAAAUCGGUGAUAAUUUUAAUAAUCUAACAUAUAAUAUUCAUUUAAUAAUUUUGAUACAAAUUAACCUAACUUGACGUAUUUUUUUUUCGAUGUUAAAACUUCAGCUGUUUAUGACGAUAACUGUUUGGAAAUAAAAACUUUAAUUUUUAAAUGAACUAUAUAAUAUUCUAAUUUUUAUAAUUAUAUAAUUAUAUAGAGACAUAUUUGUGUUUUACGGUCAAAACAAUAGUUUCCAAAAACCUGUUUCAUCAAAACUGCUUUUCACUAGUUAAAACUAGAAUUAACCAGGACCUUUAAAAUUUGUAUUGGUUUAACUUAUUUUUAGAUUCAGAGCGGAGCGAAGGAUUUAUUGGUGUUAUAAACAAAUUUACAGUGCUCGAUUUCAUUAUUUUAAAUUUUUACGCACAUCUACCACAAAUAUUUUCCCAAUAAAAUAACAACAAUAGAUCUUCAUUGUUGAAUUUUUAAUCUAGUUGGUGAGAAAGAAAGUUAUUUUUUGAUUUUCCGCGUAUUCUUGUUUAAUAAUUGAACAAAAUCGAAAAAAAAAACAAAGAACGCACGAACAAAUUUACAAAAAUUAGGUUUUUAUUAUUUUCAAUUUUGUUUUUUUGUUGUAAUUUAAUUUAAAAUAUUUAUAGAGAUUUGAAAUGUUGACAGAAAACUUAUAUUUGUCUUUUCUAGAUGUGUUAAAGUUUAAAAAAUAUUUGAGUCGUUUUUGAGUAAUUUAUAGACAUUCAAAUAUUGUCUGCUCUUUAUCUAAUUUUUAUUUGGUAGAUACUCUGUGGAUAAAAUUGUUUAACCAAAUAGAAAUGCUUGCAAAUUUAACAGGAGGUUCAUUAUAACCCAUCAAUGCCCAGCUUUGUCGUCUACCUAACCUAACCUAUUUAAUCCUAACCUAUGACUUUAUCAUCUAUACGUUCGUUCUGACCUAUCUAUAUGAAAUAAAAACUAUUCGUUUUGAUAUAAAAUAUUUUAUUACAUUUUUAUAUAAAAUACUAAACGAAGAUAUCUUGUCUGUGUAAAUACAAUAAUAUACGUCAUGUAUAGAAUCGAGACUUGAAUUAUUUCGUAGCUCGUAAAGCACAACGCAACAAAUAAUAAUUACAAUAUGUCAAUAUACAUUGUUUUUUAGUAUUAUUUAUAAAAGUACGAGCCACUAUUCUUUCUUGUAUAGGUACCUACCUGCCGAUUUAUGUAGAACAUAUUAAACACGAUUCGUGCUUAUAUGACAAGAUGCAAAUAUUAACGACUAACUUUUGAAUAAAUUAUACGAACGAUGUUUACCCGCUGGUUUUAGUUCAUUAUGUAUCUACGUAACUAGAUUAUGAAUUUUGAAACAAUAAAAACUAUGCACAAAACAUUGAAAAUCAUUUUAAGUUUAUACUUAGAACCUAUUUUAAAGAAAGAACCUUAUAAGAUCGUUUAUUUUACCACUGAAGAAUAUUAUAUAGCUGACAAUUAUUCUAUAUACCAUUAAGAAUUCAAAAAAUGCUAAUCAUAUUUAGUCAAUACAAAAAAAAAAAGUCGAUAUUUACAGGAGACGUUGUUUAUAUUUAAAUAGUAAAUACAAGUUGAACUAGACAAUGUUAAAGAAAUGACGGGUUGAUUCAUUGGAUAACUUUUAAUUAAGUUAAGGUUUCGGUUUUAAUAUUCCCGUUUUCUGACGUUUCCCUCCGUAGAUUAAGAAAACUACAAGAAAAAUCAAAAAUGACGUCCCCCAUGCAUCGACUUAGUAAACUUCGCUAUACCCGCAGAAAUUUCACCCGUUGUUAACGACUGGAGCGAAAUUUCUGUAGGUUAAAAAGUUUUUUAUUGUAAAAAAAAACACAUAUAAAAUCAAUAUAUAUAUUCUAUUCUAAACGAUACAAUGUAAAGGGUGAUUCAUAAUAUAGAACGUUGGAUUUUAAAUGUUCUUCAUUUUUUAUUCAGCAUCACUGUUUUUGUGAUUUUCGGCUUUCAUUGGGGUUUUGUGAUAAGCGUUUUUGGUGUUAGAGUUAGUUAGCGUUGUAAUCACCACGGAUAAAUAAGUACACAAAACAGAUUAAUCUCGUCGCGAGGAGACCGAAACUACCCACCGCAAUCCUACAAUGAUUUAAUACCUUUCGAUUUAUUCCUAUGGGGAUCGCUAAGACACACAGGUUUAUCAAAACAAACCCUGAAAUUUAGCGGGACUAAAACGAAAUAUUCAACUUGUCACGGACAUAAAAGAAAUGAAAAUAUGUGAACGAAUUGUGGUGAAUUUUACGGACCGAGGGUGGGAGUCGUAAUAGCGUUGUAUUUUUUUUCCACGAUUAAACCGUCACAAGAUCUCCCGAAAAUUGUUUUUCGCAUUAAAAGAACAAAUUCAAUUUAUAACGAUUUUAAAUCUGACGUGUUGAAUCACUCUAUAUAAAUCAAAUUUAUAUAAAUAUUUUGAAAAGCUUCGUUUUUUUACUGUACGUAUAUUAUUUAUAGCGGGAGAGGGUAGUGAGGGGGGAAGCAAAUUCCUCCGAAAUCCGCGUAGACCCUCUCUCUGAUAAUUAUCACGCACGUCAAUAUCGUGCACGCCGAUAUCCACAGCCGAUUGAAAGCGACGUUGUAAAUAAUAAAAUAAUAUAAAUUCAAAUAUCGAUUAUUAUGCGAAAAUGUAUUACGCUUCGUGUAGGUACCUAUAUAAUUUAACAAUGAAUAAUAUUAUUAUUUUGCGCUCUGCCCGCUCCUCUUUGUUUCAACGAAAGUGCGUUCGGCAAACAGUUUAUAAUUUUCGGGAUUUGACAGAUUUAUACGGACGCGCGUAAUCGCGUAAAAACGUGUAGUCCGUCAAUAUUGUUAUACGUUUAUGUCAAUAUUAUUACUACGGGAAACCGAUAAGCGCAUUAAUGUGUUAUUAUUAUUACGAAUAAAGAAAAAAUUGAUCACCUAGGUACCUAUAUACGGGUUGCGAUAAUCUCGAUUGACGCGCUCGACAGUCGUUAAAACUUUCGCGUUUCUGCACUCAACACGGCUAUAACGAAAUAAUACAAUAUACUCGUAAUCGUUAUGCAUAUUAUUAUUUUUUUUUAUUAACGAGACACUUUCCGUGUGUUUUGAACGAAAAAAUCCGUUUGAAAUACUACACACAUGAUAUUGAGAAAGGAAAUAUUAUAAUAAUAUUUGACUACACAGUUUAAGAGUGCAUCAACUCAAAAAAGGACCUUUUUCAGGAAAACAAUUUUGAAAAUUCGACGAAUAUUUAGUCAACUACAUAAAACAUGAAAUAAAUUAGGUAUAACGAACACGAUUUUUGGUAUACAAGUAUUAUGUUUAUGUUUCCACUGUUAUUUAUAAUAUGUAAAUACAUGAAUUCAUUUCAAAAAGUUUACUUGAUCUACUUUAGAAGUUUAGAACUGGAUAUUAUGUUAAACCAAAAUAUGUUAUUCUACAACGAAAUAAGAUUAGAUUAGGUUAGGUAAGAGCUCUCUAAGGCUCAAUGAUUUAAUGCUUGGAUUUAACUCAUUUUUGAUUUUUUUUUUUUUUUGUGAUUUAUUGCAGUCUUAAAGCGGAUAGUCGAUAUUAUUAUCGCGUUCCUUCGCAGGGUUUGGCGAAAAACAAAACAAGUUUUUUUUUAUAUAUAUUUCUCUUAAAUUUUUUAAUUUAAAUGCAUAUUGAUGCAAACACUUUUUUAAAAAUUUUGUAGGGUCCAAACUCCAUCCACCCAUUUUCUCUUAUCUUCGCUCAUUUAUUAGGUAAAAACGUAUUUAGUUCCCCUCAAUUCAAAAUCCUGACUUCGUCACUGAUUCAAAUUAAAAAGCUAGAGCAAUUUUGUUUAGUAGAUACGUAUAUUUUUGGACUGCCUGGAUAAAUUGUAAUCUCUAGGUCUAAAUUUGGUCCCACUCCACCCCUGGAUGAGUGAGUUAAUUUUACUCUAACUUAGUUAGCUUAGCGGUCUAAAAUGACGUAAAAAAGUCCUCCUUUUUCCCUUGAAUAGGUAUCAGUCAUUAAUUAUGUGGACAAGUGUUAACAUUAAAAUGGCAAUUAAAAAGUGGACAAUGAUUUUAAAAUUUUACAAAUUUGGAGAAAAUUCGGAGAACCUUUCCCGAUCUAUUUAAGUUUAAUAAUAGAUAAAUUCACUAAAUAUUAAAACUAACAGAACAAAGAUGUUUCGCUGAGCUCAAAUUUUCUACGUCGUACGUUUUGUAAGACGGAGACAGCACAUGAGGACAUCACGAGUAAUAAAUUUAUAAACUAAUUUAUAAACUUUGUAUUUUUAUAUUUUAUUACUUUUAGUAUUUUUCCCUUAUCUGAUAAUGUUUUAUAGUGGAAUUAAAGUUUGUAAGUUUUUUAAAAAGUAUAUUUAUUUAUUUAAAAAAUACUUGUGCUUUUAAACUGAGAUCUAUUAUCUCUAAAUUAUUUAUUGUUUUUCUUUUAUUGAAACAUAUUGUUAUAUUGAGUAGGUAUAUAAUGCUAUUUUUUUUUUUCUGUCUGUUUACAACUUUUAUACUAGAAAUAUUGUUCUGAUUUUCAAUUGUAGAAUCUUUUAUGAAAGCAAAUUUCGUCUAGUUAAUGCGUUGGUAAAGUCAUUUUUUUAUUUUCCUUACAUUUUCUUAAUGAUUUUUGUAUUAUUUUUUUUGUGGGUUCCAUUAAUAAGUUUGACCUCGGGGCCUUUAAAUACUCUUCAAUCCGGGUUUGAUACGGAGUGUUUAACGGAACAUUGUAACAACGGCUCAUAAUUAUUUAUCUCUGUAGGUAACAGAUCAGAUAACUUAUUUCUCAUUUUCCUGAGGUUUAUCUAACACGAAUGAUAAACAUUUACCUAUAUUAGGAUACAUAUAUCUGUAGAUCAAUCACAAACGCUGCUAAUAACCAUGAAAAUAAAAAAUAGCCAACAAAUUACUAGGCAUAAUCUGCAAUCUCCCGAGCCAGGCACUCAAGAAAUUCGCCAGAGUAAACCGGUUUGUGAUACUGGUUGGAUUAUUUGGUUUAAAAUCGUCAUGGUUUAACCGUUUAAACCGAUUUAGUUAGAAAUUGAUGAAUAAAUCAAUUUGCCCUCUUCUUCAACUUAUUAUUGAUUGCGUAUAGUAAAAUGUAAAUUGAUAUCUAAAAGUGUAGUAAGAAAUUAACAAAUUAAAUAACGGGGAAAUAUCAGAUUAAUAAUGGGGAUAAUAAACCGAGAUCGGUAACUGUUGAUCGCCAUAUUUACCGAAACGAACCAGUUACUCAUAUUCUUACAUCGGUUUACUCCAACAAAUUACUUAAAAUACACCGUUUUCGUUUUUAAGGGGAAAUCGGUACCGGUUUACUUUGGCGAAUUUCUCGUCUGUGAAUAAUGCAAUAAUAACUGCUCGCUCGCGGUGAUCGUAAAUAAUAAUAUUUCCAUUCUUUUGUCGAUUAUUAUUCGAAAACGGGGGCGGUAGGAAGAAUUCAAAUUCACGUAUUGUUAUUGUUAUUAUUAUUAUCGUAUUAUCGCGAUCCGCUGCCUCAUCCGGUAAACCGUUGUUAAUAUAUUAUUAUAUUCUAAUCGACGUCGAUGGCGCUAAAUUUCGAUCGCAUAAAUUAAAUUUUAAUCGUAAUAAUUUCCGACGGUUCGCAACAUACGGAUACGCGUGUACAUAAUAAUAAUAAUAAUAUUAGUAUUAUUACAAUAACCGUAUUGUUACUUAACCACUUUGCCGUUUUGAAUGUAGCGCGAGAUUUUUUUUUUCUAUUGCGAUCGCUAUUCGUCUCCCGCCAGUGUUGUACGUAUCGUGACCGAAAAUAACGGCGAAUAAUAAGUAAUAAUAAUAAUACAUUAUAUUGUAUUGUUUCGUAAAACAUUAGGUGUUGAUAUGGUGAAAAAAAAACGAAUGCGAUUCCGAGCGCAGAAUUGAUAAAUUUUAGAUUUUGAACGUAGACCGGGAAUGCAUUGAUUUUACCACAGUAGCUGUUUUCGUUUUUAUCUAUCUUUAUAUGUAAACAAUUUUUCUACCAAAAUUCUUGUUCCGAUUGGAAAAUGACCAGAGACGAUUUUUGUUGAAUUUUGUACAUAGUUGGUGCUUAGAGGAGAUCGUUUUAUGAUUUUCUGAGCGGUUUU
This 40805-nucleotide long non-coding RNA is filed under the name Cinara cedri. The record is from RNAcentral. Lineage: Eukaryota; Metazoa; Arthropoda; Insecta; Hemiptera; Aphididae.